Molecule: non-coding RNA, 46 nt
Organism: Phlebotomus papatasi
Lineage: Eukaryota; Metazoa; Arthropoda; Insecta; Diptera; Psychodidae
Source: Rfam
AAACCGGCCCUUUUUAGGGCCACAAUUCAAUUGCAUUGAGAGUUUU